Molecule: ribosomal RNA, 483 nt
Filed under: uncultured bacterium
Lineage: Bacteria
Description: partial 16S ribosomal RNA
Rfam family: Bacterial small subunit ribosomal RNA
Source: RNAcentral
AGUGAACGCUGGCGGCGUGCUUAACACAUGCAAGUCGAACGAGAACGGGUUAUAGCUUGCUAUAAUUGUCAGCUAAGUGGCGCACGGGUGAGUAAUGUAUAGGUAAUAUGCUUCUUACUAAGGGAUAACAAAUGGAAACGUUUGCUAAUACCUUAUACUCCUUAUUAACAUAAGUUCAUAAUGGAAAGAUUAAUUGGUAAGCGAUUAGCCUGUAUUGUAUCAGUUAGUUGGGGGGGUAAUGACUACCAAGACUAUGACACAUAACUGGUUUGAGAGGAUGACCAGCCACACUGGAACUGAGACACGGUCCAGACUCCUACGGGAGGCAGCAGUGGGGAAUAUUGCACAAUGGACGAACGUCUGAUGCAGCAACGCCGCGUGGAGGAUGACACAUUUCGGUGCGUAAACUCCUUUUAUAUGAGAAGAUAAUGACGGUAUUAUAUGAAUAAGCACCGGCUAACUCCGUGCCAGCAGCCGCCGUAA